GCGGUAUGCUUAACACAUGCAAGUCGAACGGUCUUUUCGGAGAUAGUGGCGGACGGGUGAGUAACGCGUAAGAAUCUACCUACAGGUUCGGGACAACAGUUAGAAAUGACUGCUAAUACCGGAUGUGCCGAGAGGUGAAAGCUUUAGUGCCUGUAGAUGAGCUUGCGUCCGAUUAGCUAGAUGGUGGGGUAACGGCCUACCAUGGCGACGAUCGGUAGCUGGUCUGAGAGGAUGACCAGUCACACUGGAACUGAGACACGGUCCAGACUCCUACGGGAGGCAGCAGUGGGGAAUUUUCCGCAAUGGGCGAAAGCCUGACGGAGCAAUACCGCGUGAGGGACGAAGGUCUGUGGAUUGUAAACCUCUUUUGUUGGGGAAGAUAAUGACGGUACCCAACGAAUAAGCAUCGGCUAACUCCGUGCCAGCAGCCGCGGUAAGACGGAGGAUGCAAGCGUUAUCCGGAAUUAUUGGGCGUAAAGCGUACGUAGGCUGUUUCAUAAGUCUGUUGUCAAAGCGCGAGGCUCAACCUUGUAAAGGCAAUGGAAACUGCGAGACUAGAGAGAGAUAGGGGCAGGAGGAAUUCCAGGUGUAGCGGUGAAAUGCGUAGAUAUCUGGAAGAACACCAGUGGCGAAAGCGUCCUGCUGGAUCUCAACUGACGCUGAAGUACGAAAGCUAGGGGAGCGAAUGGGAUUAGAUACCCCAGUAGUCCUAGCCGUAA
RNAcentral lists this ribosomal RNA (719 nucleotides) under uncultured cyanobacterium. Its description in RNAcentral is "bacterial SSU rRNA". It matches the Rfam family "Bacterial small subunit ribosomal RNA", at positions 39 to 805 of the family's 1533-position model. The record is from RNAcentral. Lineage: Bacteria; Bacillati; Cyanobacteriota.